This is a long non-coding RNA of Sinocyclocheilus grahami, 211 nucleotides long. RefSeq lists it as uncharacterized. NCBI's taxonomy places the organism in Eukaryota, Metazoa, Chordata, Actinopteri, Cypriniformes, Cyprinidae. The record is from RefSeq and is a predicted model, not a curated record. The transcript is spliced from 3 exons.
UCAACAUCCUCACGCAGAGCACAAACCAGGUCUACUCCAUGUGCUGCAUCUACCUGGAGAAGCUGAAGACAGUGAGUUUGGUGGUGAAGCACAGUCAGAGUGCCGAAGCUCUGGUCAAACUUUAUGAAGCUAAGUUGUGCGAGGAGGAUACAAUCAAUGCUAAUAUCAAAUCUAUCGAUGGCGUCAUGAGCACUCUUAAGCAAUGGAGGUC